This 350-nucleotide transfer-messenger RNA is filed under the name Rubrobacteraceae. RNAcentral describes it as "SCSIO-52915 sp016781775 Standard tmRNA". It matches the Rfam family "transfer-messenger RNA". Rfam says of the family: Bacterial tmRNA, also known as 10Sa RNA or SsrA, is named for its dual tRNA and mRNA-like properties. Its role is to liberate the mRNA from a stalled ribosome. The record is from RNAcentral. Lineage: Bacteria; Bacillati; Actinomycetota; Rubrobacteria; Rubrobacterales. RNAcentral also lists the same sequence under 1 other name.
GGGGGCGUACCGGCUUCGACGUGAGCGGUUAGCGUCCAAUGAGACGAGCCGAGUUUGCUGGAGACUCGUAAAACGCCGGCACCACAAUACAUGCCGACAAAGAGUUGGUGGCUGCCUAACUAACAGGUAGCCGAUCGGUCCAGGCAGCCCACGGCUUGGUAAACCGGUCUCAUUUAGUGGGCUUACCUUACGGGCUCUGGCCCGGGACUCGUAAGGGACAUUUAAUGGGCUAGCCCCUCGACGGUGCCCCGGUCCGUCGAGGUAGGCGAAACGAAACUGGGAGCGACGCUCGUAGAAUCUCUUGGGCAGCACGUUCGCGGACGCGGGUUCGAAUCCCGCCGCCUCCACUA